Melanotaenia boesemani (Boeseman's rainbowfish) is the source of this 476-nucleotide long non-coding RNA. RefSeq lists it as uncharacterized. The record is from RefSeq and is a predicted model, not a curated record. NCBI's taxonomy places the organism in Eukaryota, Metazoa, Chordata, Actinopteri, Atheriniformes, Melanotaeniidae. The transcript is spliced from 3 exons.
ACCCGGAGGCUUUAAACAUUCAGAGCCACUGUGAUAAAUAUUUACACAUUGUCCCUAUUUCAGGAAAAAAUGGUAAGGCUAUAUGUUUAACUUUAUGGAGCCACUGCCUUAGUUAAAAUAUGUCUGCAAACACAGGCACAAACAGAAAAACAGCUGUACAAGCCGCUGUAAUGUGGUGCUUUAAGAGUUUGUCAAAAUAUUUUUCUCACAUGAUCUAAAUUUUAUCUGUUUGUGAUAUUUGCUGUUUUAGCGUGAAGUAAAAAAGGAUCCACAGGAGUCUGGAGGACGGGCACAAAUACAGAGGAAAUGAGAGGUUCACGUCUGAGCACAACUCCAGUGUCACAAAUUCAGUGUUGUGGACAAUUGCAGAUGAAGAGGAAUGUGACACCUCUUUGAUCAGAAGAGCAACAGAUACUUUGAGAACAUCAGGAGGGAAUCUAAGUUGUCAGAAGACAACAAAGUGGAAGAGGAUUGGA